This 645-nucleotide long non-coding RNA is filed under the name Olea europaea subsp. europaea. The record is from RNAcentral. Lineage: Eukaryota; Viridiplantae; Streptophyta; Magnoliopsida; Lamiales; Oleaceae.
GAUUAGAGCACUGUCUCGAGUUCUUGAGGGGGAGUUUAUAUUGGCGUUCUGUCAACAUGCAUCAUAACUCUUUAAUUUUCAUUUUCAGUUUGAUACAUAUUUCAAUAAUAGACAAAGUAGCACAAAAUCCACUGGCAACAAAAUCUAGCCAUUAUUCACCAAUUAAGACAAUUUCAAAAUUUCAUGUAACAAUACAAAUUCGUUUACUCUAGAAAAAUUUCAUUAAAAUGAUGAAUAUUUCUUUCUUCAUACAAACAUUAUGUACAAAUCUUCAUAGACUACUUAUAUUCAUCACAAAAGGACUCAAUUUGAUUAACUUCCUCCACAAUUUAAAUUAGUAGGACAAAUUGCUUGCAAUUGAUAAUUAGACAGAAUUUACACUUGGCUCUCGUUCCAAUUCAAUGCACUUGAAUCUUACAAUUCAUUUCAAUUUACAAAUAGCUAGGAAUUUUGUUAGUAAUCUUUAUUUGAAACUAUCUCAAAUUAAACAAAUUUUCACCUUUUGCAAUAUAAGAAAAGGUAAUUAUAUUACCACUACAAAAUUUAAUAAUAAGUACACCACAUUAUAAUCACACCACAAAUAAAAUAGAUUUUUAAUAAAUGCACCGUAAAUGAACUGAAUUUUCAAUUGAAUUUGAACCCUAG